AAACAAUGAUAGUAUUAUAUCUCAGUCCGACUUUGGCCCCCCGUCCUCUGCUCUCGUCCUCGUCCCCGGUCCUCUAGGUUUUCCCAUUUCCGACCAUCUCGAAGGAAGAGAAGAAGAGAUCGAGGGGAGAUUUGGGCGUUUCUCUCCUUGCCUCUUGCUCUAUGCCCUCGCUGGCAAGGUGCGUCGGAUGCAGGCUGGCGGGAUCAUCCGCCGCUUCGAGACGGAUACUCUGCGCUUACGGUCCUUCUAUGUUCUUUCACGAAAUCCAAUUCAUGAGAUUGGUGACUCUUUGAUGAAAUUGGCAUCUAUCACAAAGCUUUCUCUCUCCCAUUGUCAAAUUCAAGAAAUUGGAUCUUCCCUCACGUCAUGGGUGGUUUUGAAGUCAAUCAGAUUUGCUCAAAACAAGAUUACAGUAUGUUUUACCUGCAUAAAAUACAUGCUCUGCCUGCUGAGUUGGCACGGAACAUAAAAGUUCAUAAUUUAGAUCUUGGGACCAAUCUGAUUGAGAAUUGGUCAGACUUAAAGGUCAGUGAUUAAUGAUGCCUGACUUUGUUACUUCAACUACAUCUAAGGAUGCACUAAUUUGAGACUUUAGGUUGCAUUGCUGCACAAUCUGCUGAAUUGACAAGGAUCAAAUGAUUUUGAUAAUAAGCAAGGAAAGGUGGAAAUAAGUUCCUUAAUUGAAGCUUAGGAGUAAGGAGUUGCCUUUAAUAGAAGACAUAAACUGAGUGAAGCGAGCAGCUGAUUCAAAACUUGGUCUUCCAUCACAUUAGCUAUGGAGAGUACAGUGUUUGCGAAGUCAGUAGAAUAGUGAAGAACUGGCGGAUUGCUAUUUCUUUUUAACCCCCCCCCCCCCCCCCCCCCAAAAAAAAAAAGGAAAAAAAAAGAAGACUGGCACAUUAAAAGCUAAAGCUCUGUGGGCGGUAAUAGAGGAGAGCGGUUUAGCAAAUCUCUGUGGGUGGUAAUAGAGGAGAGCGGUUUAGCAAAGAUCCAAAAAAGAUUACAGUCAGAAAGAUAAGGUUUGAUAUUAGGCUUUGACAUCUUGCGUAGGAAAGAAAAAUAACUUUUCUACCUGAAAAAAAUAAUUGUUUUCCAAAUGUCUCUACAGCUUGGCAAUAUUGUGGUGAACAAAGUCUUUCUGGAAACCCUGCUGAAGUCUGAUUUUAUUGUAAGGAUGGUAGUAUGGGAAAUGUUUGAAUUUUGUUAACAAUAUAGAGCUAUUAGAUUGUUCUUUGACAAAGUUCCCAUGGGUAAGUGGUUUUGAUCUGAUGAGUAUGUCCAGAUUAAAAGGAUUAUAAUGUUUGCUGAGGCAGAAAGAUCAUCUUCCCCUGGUGCAUUUGUAUAACAAAGUUUGUCCUAUUAUAACUAGACUACCCUUUAUACAAUCUCAAGCUUAAAGUCAUAUCAACAUGAUUAAAAGUCUGUCAAGUAUGACAACCGGAGCUCAAAUAUCACAUGAUUUAAGAAUGCUUACGGAUGUUGAAAGAGUUGUAUAAUUACAAUUGCUAUGGUCCAUAUUACAGGAAUAGCAGUAACUCAGAAUAAGGAAACAAAGUAUGUCCUUCAGUCCUUGCAAAAGAAGAUGAUGCAUCAGGGAGCUGCCAGUCAAAAAUCAGAAUACUUCCAUUGUAUUGGGCACAAAGUCUGGAAUUUAUAAAUGAUUGGGAGAAAGUUCAAUGAAUUUGAAUCAAGAUGGUCACAUCAUAUGAGAAGAAGCCAGACAAAGCUCUUACCAUCUAGAAAAUGAUUGGACUGGGAAAAAAGAAGAAAAGAAUACCUGUCUCAAAUAUAAACCUCUUUUCACUGCUAGGAAUUAUAUGCAGUGCCUCGGUAACAAGCACCGGAAAAGAGGAUUCUGGAUCCCCUUGGUUAAGAUAUCUCUCUUUUAGAAUGCAAUCACACACUUGCCUUGCUUGAGCAAAAUAUUUAGACUUACAUGAUUCAGUCUGGCAAUCCCUGUAUAAAAAUGCUACUUCUAAAGAUGCAUACAUAAUUACCGGAAAAAUUUGAACAAUAAUUUUUCUAGCUAUGUAGGGAUAAAUUCAAAUCUUGAAGGACUGGUUCAGAUACCAAUGAUCAUAUUAUUCAUGACUACAUCGUUCCUUAUACUAAGAAGGCUGGGAUGGUAUUAAGUUGAUAAAUGUUCUUUCAUGCAAAUUUCAUGGCAUAUACGAUCCAAUUGCUAUUACUGUAUCUUUUACUCUCUUUUCUAGUUAAUUUUCUUGCUAAUGUUCUGUGGAGAUGCAAAUGCUUGGAAAGAUCCUCUUGCAAAAUUCUAAUAUUUCUCAGUUCUCUUAGUAAUUUUAUUUGAAAUUUCUACACCAGUAUCUUAUGAUUUUCCCCUUUUAGUCCUUUAAUAAGAGGCACACACUAUCUUUUUUCAAAUAAAAGAAGAAAAGAGGCACCACAUCAAAAAAUUAACCCGCUUUCUUCUAUUUAUAGGCAUGACCACAUUUUUUUGCGAAUCAUAGACAUCUAAUUUGCACAUUUGUAUGGAUUUGUUUGGUCAUGUAGGUGGUGAAGCGCUCAGUCACAUGCAAUGGCAUUGUCCCAUGCCAGAUUUAGAUUACUGUAAUUCAUCUGGAUGAUUUGAUACUAUGGCAUGCCCAUUCAAUGGCACAUGGUCAGUGACGAACCUACUCGCAGGAAACAAACAUGAAAUUUCUUGUAAUUUCAAGAAUAUCCUUUCCUUCUAUAGAGUGGAGAUGUGGAGGCCUUUUUCGCAGUGGGCACCUGUGGCUCUUUCCACUGCCUAUACAAGAUACAGUCAAAUGCCACCUACAAGUUUAUCAGGGAGAAAUAGAAUAACUCAUGGAGGAAAUGGAAGAUGCUAUGUCUCAACAGCGAGAUGAUAUUGAUAUAAAUAAAUUCGGUAUCUCUAUUAACUUUUGUACAUGUCAUUCCAAAAAAGCCAGGGCAUCCAGCAACAAAUGUAUCAUAGUGGGAGUCAUCAAGUAAUUUGCUCUUGUUAUUCAUUAUGACAAUAUUCAUAAAGACAAAAAUUACUUAUCAGGGCUUCUUUAAGUACAAUUUUCAUGUAAAUCGGAGUAUGAAAAUGUUGAUUUACACAUACAGGAAGUUUUGUGGUAUCAGUUAUAAUUUUGGUGGUGCACUCAGUUAUGGUGAUGCUGCUUUUGAACCCUCACAUAAAGGAAGAAAGCUUGUCUGGGUUAACACUAACACCAUCAAUGUAUUGGGAUUGCAAGAUCUCCUUCAUCUCUGUGCAAAGAAAAAUUUAAUUGUGUUAGGGAGGAGCUGCCAUGGCUUAGCUAUUCAGGCUGGUCAGCUCACUGAUAUCCUGACAUGUAACAUCCUGAUCAACCUGUACUCCAAAUGUGGCCAUAUUGGAUCCGCUCGUUGUGUGUUUGAUAGGAUGCCUGUCCGAAGUAUAGUUUCGUGGAAUACCAUGAUUGCUGGACAUACCCAUUAUGGAGAGGACAGAGAGGCGCUGAAGCUUUUCUUGCAGAUGCAUCGAGAAGGGACGAUGCUGAGCGAAUUUACUCUAUCCAGUGUCCUCUGUGCAUGUGCUUCCAGAUGUGCUGUUACUGAGAGCAAACAAUUGCAUGCUUUGGCGCUUAAGACUGCAAUGGAUUCCAAUGUGUUCGUUGGAACUGCAGUUCUUGAUGUCUAUGCAAAAUGUAAUAUGAUCAAUGAUGCAUGCCGGGUUUUCGAAAAAAUGCCAGAAAAGUCGCCGGUCACAUGGAGUUCAAUGGUUGCAGGUUACGUGCAAAAUGAUCUUCAUGAGGAGGCGUUGAGGUUAUUCCAAAAAGCGCAGCAGAUCGGAGUGGAGUUGACACAGUAUACAAUGUCUGCUAUUCUUAGUGCCUGUGCAAGCCUAGCAGCAACAAUUGAAGGGAUACAGUUACAUGCAAUUUUGAUAAGAAGUGGUCUAAGUACUGAUGUCUUUGUGUCCACCGCUCUUAUUGAUGUCUACUCCCGGUGUGGAUGUGUAGAGGAGGCUUACUUAGUUUUUGCAUAUAUGGAAGACAGAAACAUUGUGUUGUGGAAUGCCAUGAUCGCCGGAUUUUCCAAGCAUGCUCGGUUCCAUGAAGCCAUGAUUCUUUUUGAGAAGAUGCAGCAGCUGGGAAUGCAUCCGAAUGAGGUUACCUACAUCUCGGUGCUAUCUGCAUGUGGUCAUGCUGGUUUAAUUGAAAAGGGUCAUCAUUAUUUUGAUCUAUUGAUGAGAGAUAACUAUGUGCAGCCCAAUGUCCUUCACUAUUCUUGCAUGGUCGACGCUCUUGGCCGGGCUGGGCACAUUGAUGAAGCUUGGGAAUUAAUUCAGAAAAUGCCAUUUAAGGCUACUGCUUCGAUGUGGGGAUCUCUGCUCAGUUCAUGCAGGAUCCAUGGCAAUCUCAAAUUGGCUAAAACUGCAGCUGAGCAUCUUUUUGAGCUUGAACCUAAUAAUGCAGGAAAUCAUGUUUUGCUUUCAAAUAUAUAUGCCACGAAUAAAAAAUGGGGAGAUGUUUCAAUGGCAAGGAAGCUUUUGAAAGAUAGCGGUGCAAAAAAGGAGAUUGGGAAGAGUUGGAUAGAAGUGAAGGGCAAGGUCCACAUUUUUGUUGUCGGGGGGAGUAACCAUGCCAGAACCACCGAGAUCUAUGCUAAAUUGGAAGAUAUUGGGAAUGAGCUGAAGAAGUUGUCUUAUAAAGCCGAGACUCAAUGUGAUCUUCAUGAUGUAGGGGAAGAACAAAAGGAGGAGCUGUUGAAGCACCACAGUGAGAAGUUGGCACUUGCUUUCGGACUCAUUAGCUUGCCUCCUGGAAUGCCGAUCAGGAUAAACAAGAACCUUAGAAUCUGCAGAGACUGCCAUUCUUUUAUUAAAUUAGCCUCAAGGAUCACUGGUAGGGAAAUCAUUGUCAGAGAUACUAAUCGGUUUCAUCAUUUUAAGGAUGGGAUUUGUUCCUGCAGGGACUUCUGGUGAUACUGAAACAUCUUUUUUUUUUUUUUUUUUUGGGGGGGGGGGGGGGGGACUAUCAGCUGGAUUCUGAUGUCACUUUUUUGUCAUAUCCUCCUCCAUGUACAUGAGCCACCUCGCUCAUUUCUCCUGAGAUAUGGUUCGACAAGUCCACUGAUGGUUUUAUCUUAUGCAUCAGUGAGAGACCGAAGAGAUUCACCAUUUUAUUGGUAUAUUCCUGUGGGAUAUCUGGUGUGAAGAAUGAUCAUUUCUUUUUCGAUAAUAUUACUCAUGCCUCUGGAUAAUUAUGUCACCGGACCAUGCUGAAAUUGUUCGAUUGAUAAGGUUAUCGUUCAGCAGCUGAGAGGCAGGUCGUGUGGUCUCUACACUCAAGCUAUCUUGCAUAGCCUAUUAGUGCCUCUCCAGGAGCAUAUCAAAGCAUGUUUACAGAUGGGUUCUUGAGUGAUUUUGGUAGAGUGUGGUGCUGAAGACUGGGAAUCGGAGCAGGAACAUGCUGUUUGAGUAUUCGUACAGCAAAACUAUAUCCAGAAUAUCGUAUCUAUCUUAUAUUGGUGCAUAUCAUUUCGAGCAUUCUGCUCCUGUUUUAAUUGCAGAAUAUACUGCAUCUGAAUAAGGGACAAGAUUCCAACUGCCACAUAUCCUAUAGCAAGCUAAGGAGAAAAGUUGGUCAUGCAAUGAUGAGGGACAUAUGACCUGCCCUUUGCUCAAGUUUGCCCCUGUUGAUCUUAAAUUCAGCUACGCCAUCUUUAUCAAAGUUUGGCUUAAAUAAACAACUGAAAAGUUGCAAAGUGGUGGGUUGGUUUUGCGAACUUACAUACCUGCUGAGUGCCAUUGGAUUCCAAUGAUCAUCAAAAUGCUAUCAACACCCAAGUACUGGUCUUGAGUCCCUUGCCAGUCAGAAUUGAUGAUGCUGUUUCAUGGACAGUGCCACAUGCCUCGGUGGUCCACCAUCCACCUCUUCUCAUGCUGAUCGCUGCCGUCCACUCACCGGUGGAUGGGUAGCGGUCGCACGAGUAGAAUGCAGACAGGUGGAUCGCACCGUCCUGCUCGCACCCCCACCUCCAUAAAUCAGAAUUUUCCCAAUCAAAGGAUACAGCUCAACUGGUCCAAACUGAAACAUGAAAUGAAACUCAUCAUCCGGGAAGAGUGUGGCCGUUUGCUGUUCCAUUCAUAGAUUUCAUGCAUCAGGCUAAACCAGCAUGAAGAAUUUCUCCCAGCUUUCACUGUCUGAUAAUAAUGGAUCUCUGGCUUCACUUCAUGUUCCACUUUCUCUGCUAGUAAAUUUCCUUCUCAGGAUGCACCGCUGUGAAAUACGAAAAGCUGUGGGCCUCAGAACUUUGCAGGGACAUGGAAAGGUGGAAUGACUCACUUGAGGUCUGCUGAAGAAAAAGAUGAACUGUCAUCAGGUCAGCCAUUUUGGGUGGACCACGCUUGCAGGUGGGGUUGAUGAAGGCAGCGACUUCUCGAAGAAAAGAUGCGGACGGGGCAUAUCAUAAUGAGCAUCCUGCAGGGCCCAGUGAAUUCGUUGCCACGGCGAUUGGUGGGUGUAUCAUUUGAGGCAUCAUCAUCUUCAGUGGCAGGUCUAUCUUUGCUGUGAUCCCUCCCACUGUGCGCUCUUGGUCGCGUCAGUGUCAUAUUUGUCAUCCAAACGGUAUCCUUAGGUGCUCUCCCUUUCACUUCCAAUGGCAGGAGAUGCCCUCUGUGUGAGGUGCAUGGGGAUUAGUAGUUAUUGUUGCCGUUUAACAACUCAUUCCAUCAGGACAGAGUUUGGUGCCAAUGGACAUAAUCCUUAUCCUCAGUAGCCAGUGCAUUAGUUAUUUUAUGUGUGUGUGUGUGUGUUUGAUGAUAAAGAAGGCCUAGAGAAGUGCCACCCGGCCUUUAUUACAUGAAAGCCAAAAAUAGAGACGAUGUAAACGAAAGAAAGCUUCAGAAAGAUACUACCCGAAGGCUGCCGCAGCAGGCAAAAAAGAAGGCAGAGACCGACCGCUUAAUGGUUGAUUGCAAGAAAGAAAGA
Non-coding RNA from Phoenix dactylifera (date palm), 6926 nucleotides. NCBI's taxonomy places the organism in Eukaryota, Viridiplantae, Streptophyta, Magnoliopsida, Arecales, Arecaceae. The record is from RefSeq and is a predicted model, not a curated record.